This 290-nucleotide small RNA is filed under the name Paenibacillus pini JCM 16418. Its description in RNAcentral is "5' ureB small RNA". It matches the Rfam family "5' ureB small RNA". The record is from Rfam by way of RNAcentral. Lineage: Bacteria; Bacillati; Bacillota; Bacilli; Caryophanales; Paenibacillaceae.
AUUUCUACUUGUUUAGGGUUAAUAAAAUGUACAUGGGUAUCAAUGGCUCCAGCGGUUACAAUUAAGCCUUCACCUGCGAUGAUUUCUGUGGAGGUACCGAUAAUAAUAUCGAUAUGAUCUGUAAUGAGAGGGUUUCCACUUUUACCUAUGCCAAAAAUUUUCCCAUCUCGAAUGGCGAGAUCUGCUUUGAUAAUGCCUGUAUAAUCUAAAAUAAUGACAUUGGUAAUGACGGUAUCUGCUACACCUUCUUUACGGGUCGCAAGAGGGUGCUGUCCCAUGCCGUCUCGAAU